Molecule: ribosomal RNA, 327 nt
Filed under: uncultured eukaryote
Lineage: Eukaryota
Description: partial 18S ribosomal RNA
Rfam family: Eukaryotic small subunit ribosomal RNA
Source: RNAcentral
CCCUUAGAUGUUCUGGGCCGCACGCGCGCUACACUGACGAUGUCAGAGAGUGUCUCCUUCACCGAGAGGUGUGGGUAAUCUUUUAAACAUCGUCGUGCUGGGGAUAGAUCAUUGCAAUUUUUGAUCUUAAACGAGGAAUUCCUAGUAAGCGCGAGUCAUCAGCUCGCGCUGAUUACGUCCCCGCCCUUUGUACACACCGCCCGUCGCUACUCCCGAUUGAAUGGUUUAGUGAGGCCUUCUGACUGGCGCCGCUACUCUGGCAACAGAGCGGCGGAUGCCGGGAAGUUGGUCAAACUUGAUCAUUUAGAGGAAGUAAAAGUCGUAACA